This 447-nucleotide ribosomal RNA is filed under the name uncultured bacterium. RNAcentral describes it as "bacterial SSU rRNA". It matches the Rfam family "Bacterial small subunit ribosomal RNA", at positions 355 to 825 of the family's 1533-position model. The record is from RNAcentral.
UGGGGAAUAUUGGACAAUGGGCGCAAGCCUGAUCCAGCCAUGCCGCGUGAGUGACGAAGGCCUUAGGGUUGUAAAACUCUUUCGUCGGGGACGAUAAUGACGGUACCCGAAGAAGAAGCUCCGGCUAACUUCGUGCCAGCAGCCGCGGUAAUACGAAGGGAGCUAGCGUUGUUCGGAAUCACUGGGCGUAAAGCGCACGUAGGCGGAUAGUUAAGUCAGGGGUGAAAUCCUGGGGCUCAACCCCAGAACUGCCUUUGAUACUGGCUGUCUCGAGGUCGAGAGAGGUUGGUGGAAUUCCUAGUGUAGAGGUGAAAUUCGUAGAUAUUAGGAAGAACACCAGUGGCGAAGGCGGCCAACUGGCUCGAUACUGACGCUGAGGUGCGAAAGCGUGGGGAGCAAACAGGAUUAGAUACCCAUGUAGUCCCUGAGCGGGCUGGCAAGGCGCAU